This 864-nucleotide unclassified non-coding RNA is filed under the name Hevea brasiliensis (rubber tree). The record is from RNAcentral. Lineage: Eukaryota; Viridiplantae; Streptophyta; Magnoliopsida; Malpighiales; Euphorbiaceae.
AUAAUCUGUUCAUUAGAAUCCCUAAAUAGACAAAGAAUACAAUAUUUAAAAAUGCCCCAUAGGCUUAAUCCAGAUAUCUAACUCAAGCCAUUCUAAGCACAACACUGGUCUAAAAUACUUUGGCCCAACCUAGAUCCCUAAGCCCCAUCUAAGAACCUCAGGGCAAACUAAACCGAGUAAUGAACUUGAAACAGAGGACCCAGACAAGGAACAAAUCACCAGCGUCAUUCCUCUUAAAAACAUCCAGCCAAGCAGAACCAAUAGCAAAGAGAACCACACAACCAAAUAAAACUGCAACAGCCAACACUAGAACCAUAAGCAAGGUGGAAGAGCAAGUACCAUGGGGCCGAGGAAAACCCUUGAGCUUUGACCAGUGAAUCGCACAAUGUGAAGAGUAAGGAGGAGCAGGGUCCCGACGACGGCUUCUUAAUCUCUUUUAGCCAAGGCAGCAAGACUUUAUCAGCCAUCUCUUUAAACCCUGUAGCCAGCCACAAAAACCUCCUUUCGGCCAAAUUAAAGACAACACUUAAAGGACAUACAAGCUAUUGGAUAGGAGUAGAUUUGCAGAAAUCUUUCCCUUUGCGCCACCAGACCUACAACAACCGUACUAAACACACUAACGAAACAGAGGAUAAACUAAACCAAGUUCAUUGACAGCCUCAGAUCCCUCCACAUUUAAGCCCCUAAACAUCAAAAGCUAUCUACAGCCCUACCCACCAGUUGGGAGGGAGACCCACUGACCAGGUAGGGGGAGGCAGCCUCCCUCUACCAGAGGAUUAGAGGAAAAUUACCAUGAGCGGCAGAACUAGGGAUGACAACGGGUACUCGCGAAAAACACUCUACCCGAAUUCAAAUUCAAUCAAU